Molecule: ribosomal RNA, 253 nt
Filed under: uncultured bacterium
Lineage: Bacteria
Description: partial 16S ribosomal RNA
Rfam family: Bacterial small subunit ribosomal RNA
Source: RNAcentral
UACGGAGGAUGCAAGCGUUAUCCGGAAUUACUGGGCGUAAAGCGUGCGCAGGCGGUUAUGUAAGACAGACGUGAAAUCCCCGGGCUCAACCUGGGAACUGCGUUUGUGACUGCAUAGCUAGAGUACGGUAGAGGGGGGUGGAAUUCCGCGUGUAGCAGUGAAAUGCGUAGAUAUGCGGAGGAACACCGAUGGCGAAGGCAGCCCCCUGGACCUGUACUGACGCUCAUGCACGAAAGCAUGGGGAGCAAACAGG